GCAGGCAGAGCUCAGUGGUAGAGUGCAUACUUAGCACACACUGGGUCCUGGGUUCAAUCCCCAGUACCUCCA
Transfer RNA from Camelus ferus (Wild Bactrian camel), 72 nucleotides. It matches the Rfam family "tRNA". From Rfam's summary of the family: Transfer RNA (tRNA) molecules are approximately 80 nucleotides in length. Their secondary structure includes four short double-helical elements and three loops (D, anti-codon, and T loops). The record is from Rfam. Lineage: Eukaryota; Metazoa; Chordata; Mammalia; Artiodactyla; Camelidae.